RNAcentral lists this transfer RNA (72 nucleotides) under Moloch horridus. RNAcentral describes it as "tRNA-Asn". The record is from RNAcentral. Lineage: Eukaryota; Metazoa; Chordata; Lepidosauria; Squamata; Agamidae.
AGGGACCGGAAGGCUUCGAUCCUACACACACUAGUUAACAGCUAGUUCGCCCAACCAACGGACAUCAGCCCC